Non-coding RNA from Mycena floridula, 98 nucleotides. Lineage: Eukaryota; Fungi; Basidiomycota; Agaricomycetes; Agaricales; Mycenaceae. The record is from the annotation of a GenBank genome assembly.
GGUCCGAUGGUGUAGUUGGUUAUCACAUCUGUCUAACAGUUUAUUAUAUUAUGUAAGCUGGACACAGAAGGUCCUCAGAUCGAGUCUGGGUCGGAUCA